This 469-nucleotide ribosomal RNA is filed under the name uncultured bacterium. RNAcentral describes it as "bacterial SSU rRNA". It matches the Rfam family "Bacterial small subunit ribosomal RNA", at positions 501 to 969 of the family's 1533-position model. The record is from RNAcentral.
CUACGUGCCAGCAGCCGCGGUAAUACGUAGGUCCCGAGCGUUAUCCGGAUUUAUUGGGCGUAAAGCGAGCGCAGGCGGUUAGAUAAGUCUGAAGUUAAAGGCUGUGGCUUAACCAUAGUACGCUUUGGAAACUGUUUAACUUGAGUGCAGAAGGGGAGAGUGGAAUUCCAUGUGUAGCGGUGAAAUGCGUAGAUAUAUGGAGGAACACCGGUGGCGAAAGCGGCUCUCUGGUCUGUAACUGACGCUGAGGCUCGAAAGCGCGGGGAGCAAACAGGAUUAGAUACCCUGGUAGUCCACGCCGUAAACGAUGAGUGCUAGGUGUUGGGUCCUUUCCGGGACUCAGUGCCGCAGCUAACGCAUUAAGCACUCCGCCUGGGGAGUACGACCGCAAGGUUGAAACUCAAAGGAAUUGACGGGGGCCCGCACAAGCGGUGGAGCAUGUGGUUUAAUUCGAAGCAACGCGAAGAAC